RNAcentral lists this ribosomal RNA (619 nucleotides) under Escherichia coli. Its description in RNAcentral is "bacterial SSU rRNA". It matches the Rfam family "Bacterial small subunit ribosomal RNA", at positions 71 to 683 of the family's 1533-position model. Lineage: Bacteria; Pseudomonadati; Pseudomonadota; Gammaproteobacteria; Enterobacterales; Enterobacteriaceae. The record is from RNAcentral.
AGGAACAGCUUGCUGCUUCGCUGACGAGUGGCGGACGGGUGAGUAAUGUCUGGGAAACUGCCUGAUGGAGGGGGAUAACUACUGGAAACGGUAGCUAAUACCGCAUAACGUCACAAGACCAAAGAGGGGGACCUUCGGGCCUCUUGCCAUCGGAUGUGCCCAGAUGGGAUUAGCUAGUAGGUGGGGUAACGGCUCACCUAGGCGACGAUCCCUAGCUGGUCUGAGAGGAUGACCAGCCACACUGGAACUGAUACACGGUCCAGACUCCUACGGGAGGCAGCAGUGGGGAAUAUUGCACAAUGGGCGCAAGCCUGAUGCAGCCAUGCCGCGUGUAUGAAGAAGGCCUUCGGGUUGUAAAGUACUUUCAGCGGGGAGGAAGGGAGUAAAGUUAAUACCUUUGCUCAUUGACGUUACCCGCAGAAGAAGCACCGGCUAACUCCGUGCCAGCAGCCGCGGUAAUACGGAGGGUGCAAGCGUUAAUCGGAAUUACUGGGCGUAAAGCGCACGCAGGCGGUUUGAUAAGUCAGAUGUGAAAUCCCCGGGCUCAACCUGGGAACUGCAUCUGAUACUGGCAAGCUUGAGUCUCGUAGAGGGGGGUAGAACUCCAUGUGUAGCGGUG